RNAcentral lists this ribosomal RNA (464 nucleotides) under uncultured bacterium. Its description in RNAcentral is "bacterial SSU rRNA". It matches the Rfam family "Bacterial small subunit ribosomal RNA", at positions 28 to 507 of the family's 1533-position model. The record is from RNAcentral.
GACGAACGCUGGCGGCGUGCCUAACACAUGCAAGUCGAACGGAGAUAUGAUUUCGGUUGUAUCUUAGUGGCGAACGGGUGAGUAACGCGUGAGCAACCUGACUCUUAGAGGGGGAUAACACUCGGAAACGGGUGCUAAUACCGCAUAAGACCACGACAUGGCAUCAUGACGAGGUCAAAGGAGCAAUCCGCUGAGAGAGGGGCUCGCGUCCCAUUAGAUAGAUGGCGGGGUAACGGCCCACCAUGUCAACGAUGGGUAGCCGAGCUGAGAGGCUGAUCGGCCACACUGGAACUGAGACACGGUCCAGACUCCUACGGGAGGCAGCAGUGGGGAAUAUUGGGCAAUGGGCGCAAGCCUGACCCAGCAACGCCGCGUGAGGGAAGAAGGCUUUCGGGUUGUAAACCUCUGUCCUUGGUGACGAAAAAAUGACGGUAGCCAAGGAGGAAGCCCCGGCUAACUACGUG